UACGUAGGGGGCAAGCGUUGUCCGGAAUCAUUGGGCGUAAAGCGCGUGUAGGCGGCUCGGUAAGUCCGCUCUGAAAGUCCGGGGCUCAACCCCGGGAGGCGGGUGGAUACUGUCGAGCUAGAGUCCGGAAGAGGCGAGUGGAAUUCCUGGUGUAGCGGUGAAAUGCGCAGAUAUCAGGAGGAACACCAAUAGCGAAGGCAGCUCGCUGGGACGUUACUGACACUGAGGCGCGAAAGCGUGGGGAGCGAACAGG
Molecule: ribosomal RNA, 253 nt
Filed under: uncultured bacterium
Lineage: Bacteria
Description: partial 16S ribosomal RNA
Rfam family: Bacterial small subunit ribosomal RNA
Source: RNAcentral